UUUUGCUUUUUGAUGAUGUAGCUGCAUGCUUGAUAGAAGCAGCUUGGACAUUCAUUUUACUUGGGAUUAACAUUAUUGAGUGAAUUGUGUUAUGAGACGUGCAGGUACAAAGUGGGGUGUGACUUACCUGGGAAGUACAGAGUUGCACUAGACAGUGAUGCUUUCGAAUUUGGUGGACAUGGAAGAGUAAGGAAGCCCUUUGCAUUCCCAAUGUUGUAUUAAGCAGAAGCUGAGUAUUUUAGGGACAUUGCAAUUAAAAUAAGAGCAAACAAAAAGGAAUGAACCAUCUCUCUUUCUUAUCAGAAGUUGUUGACCACAGUUUAACUGGCAGGUAGGGCAUGAUGUAGACCACUUCACAUUUCCAGAAGGAAUACCAGGGGUUCCUGGAACAAAUUUCAACCGCCGUCCCAACUCCUUCAGAGUACUCUCACCACCGCGAACAUCCGUGGUAUGAUAAUUACUGACAAUUUUGUUAAUCCUGACUUUCUAAUUUCAAGUUUUCUUACUUCUAGUGGUUGUGAGGUGUGUGUGAUGCUUCUCGUUUGCUUUAAUCUGGCAAACAAACAUCUGUGAUUGUUCUUAACCAUUAUCUUACGAACUUGUCAAGGUUUAUUACCGAGUGGAGAACUCAACAGCAAAAGUUGUGGUUGGGCAGGAGCACAAAGAAGUUGGAUCUAUGAAACAUGAAAAUGUUGGUCCAUUAGUGAAUUUGUCAUCGGAUAACUGAAAGAGGUGUGCUCCCACUGAUGGAUUCUGUAUGUGAAUAAAUAAGCGGAUUGUUCAACGAUAUAGAAAAAUGUACUACUUGCAGAUGCAGUCGCACUAGAAUGUGUAUAUGAAAUAAACGACUGCAUCUAGAAUGUGUGUAUGAAAUAAACGACUGUAUGACAUAAACAUUAGCAUUACUACUGGGUUCGUAGUUUCAAUUACUGAAUUAUAAAUCGUAGUUUGCUAUGUCAAGCUCGAUGAUAAUCUCACUAUUAAGACAUAUGCCAAAAUGUUAUUUGGUUUCUUUCCCAGUUGAAUCAUGAUAAUGCCUAAAAUCUCACUAUUAGGCCAUUUAAUAUCUGGAUAUAACGUAGUGUAGAUUAAUCUGGAUUAGGAUACAAUGCUGAUUAAUCUGGAUUAAGAUAUAAUGCAGAUAAAUCCCAGUUGUAAUCAAAUAGUGAAUCUUUCUCUUUGUAGAAGACACGUACAUUUCUCGGUUUCUCCUUGUAGAAGACAAUCCAGACAUAAUGCAGAUUAAUCCAAUUGUAACCAAAUACUGAACCUUUGUCCUUGUAGAAGAUAAUCCAGAUUGAUCCCCUAUUGUAAUCAAAUACUGAAUCUUUCUCCUCGUAGAAGAUGAGAUGCUCCUAUAUAUACCCACCCAUCUGCAAUUAUCAUCGCUCACACACAUUGUUCUUGAUAUUCAGUAUUAUCAUUACUUAAAAAGAUGGAGAUUGAUCUUACACCAAGGUUGGCUAAGCAGGUUUAUGGAGGAGAUGGUGGUUCCUACUCUGCAUGGUCCCCAUCGGAGCUUCCCAUGCUACGUGAAGGUGACAUCGGAGCUGCCAAGCUCUCUCUGGAGAAGGACGGCUUCGCUCUCCCCAAUUACUCUGACUCUGCCAGAGUUGCUUAUGUCCUUCAAGGUAAUGGAGUAGUCGGGAUUGUUUUGCCCGAGAAGGAAGAGAAGGUUCUGCCUGUUAAGAAGGGUGAUGCUCUUGCCCUCCCCUUUGGUGUCAUCACAUGGUGGCACAACAAGGAGGAUACCGAGUUUGUGGUUCUUUUCUUGGGUGACACCAAAACCGCUCACAAAAGAGGAGAGUUCACCGAUAUGUAUCUCAAUGGUUCCAAUGGAAUCUUCACCGGCUUCUCAACUGAGUUUGUCAGCCGAGCAUGGGAUUUGGAGGAGAGUGUUGUGAAAACUCUUGUUGGCAACCAAAGCGGGAAGGGCAUUGUUAAGUUGGGAGGAGCUAAUCUGCCUGAACCAAACAAGGAACAUAGAGAUGGGAUGACAUUGAACUGCGAAGAGGCUCCUCUUGAUGUUGAUAUUGAGGGAGGUGGAAGAGUUGUUGUUUUGAACACUAAGAACCUACCUCUGGUGGGUGAGGUUGGCCUUGGCGCCGAUCUUGUGAGAUUGGAUGGUAGUGCUAUGUGCUCUCCUGGGUUUUCUUGUGACUCUGCGUUGCAGGUCACUUACAUUGUUAGGGGCAGUGGCCGUGUCCAAGCUGUAGGUGUCGAUGGGAAGAGGGUCUUGGAAACAACUGUUACGGCUGGUAACUUGUUCAUUGUUCCUCGAUUCUUUGUGGUUUCAAAGAUUGCUGACCCGGAAGGCUUGGAAUGGUUCUCCAUCAUCACCACUCCCAAUCCAAUUUUCACUCAUUUGGCUGGAAGUAUUAGUGCUUGGAAAGCGUUAUCUCCUCAGGUGCUUGAAGCUUCUUUCAAUGUGGAUUCGGAUACUGAAAAACUCUUCCGAUCAAAGAGAACUGCUGAUGCAAUCUUCUUCCCUCCUCCAAAGUGAGCUGAUGAGCUUACACAAUAAGCGUUUUUUGGUUUAUGUUUCAUGGCCUUUUAUGACACGUUUACUUGUUAUGAAUGAAAUUCAUAAUGAAUGGGAGAAAGAAGAAAUGAGAGAAAGAAUGAAAUAGUAUGUUAAGAGUUCAAUUUCAUUGAACUGUUUAUUUACCACAUGGAAUUAAAAUAAGAAUGAAAUUAAUUACGAUUGAUGUUGUUUACUUAUCAUAUAAAAUUUGAAUUAAAACUACUUCGAUUACUAAAUUACCCUUUCAAAAAAAGUCUGCCAAGUAGUUUUUUUUUUUCCCGACAAAAAGUUAAGCAUUUUGUUUAAAUCAAUAUAGGAUCAUAGAACAUCCACUUUAUAAAAAAAAAAAACUAAAUAAACUUUGCCAAACUUUGAUGGUUGUUGGCAUUGAACCACCAGCAUGUUUUAGAAUAACAAGAACUUUGAAUCCUUAUGCAGAAAUCAAAAUCAACAUUUAAGAAGUGUGCGAUCUGCUAAAACUAAAUAAACAUAGAUAACUCUAUCAAAUCUCAAUCAAAACCCCCAACGAUUUGAACCCCUCCGCAUCACUCUCAAAAGACAAAUCAACAACGAUCAUGUGAAAAUGAUAAAGUAAAGAAGAUAAUAACAAAGGAGAAGAUCAUUGGAAAAGAUAGGACAAAGAAGAGUGACUAACCAGCAGCACAGUCGCACGAUUCGUUUUUGUCAUUGGUUGGCUGUUUCUGAUAAUGGCAAAAUAUGACACGUUUAUGAUAAGAAAUAUAUUCUGGGGUUAGGUAAUUUGGGGUUAUUGAAAUUAUGUGAGGAUAAUUUGGAAACAAAAAGUUCAUUUCUGAUGAUGUCAUUCCUAAACCCACCUCCUCCCUUGGUAUUACAAAUUCAGGUUAACAAGGAAUCAAUUCCAGGUUGGGAGGUGGGACCCACAAAAAUUUCUAUUCCACUAUGAGCAAAUAAACACAGGAAUUUCUUCAUCCCGUAAUCAUUCUCCUAUAUUUAUAUUUCAUUCAUGAUAAGUAAAUGUGUCAUUAGUUCAUAAUUUUUUACGAUUUAAAGAAAAAUAUAAAGAUGUGGAAUAUUCAAUAUUCUAAAGAGCAAAACACCUGGAAGCAACACGUAGGCUUUGGAGGAAGGAUAUAAAAACAAACGGACCAACGGCUCAUAGUUAGCGAGGAUCCAUCUCACGUCACGUGGAUCAUGAUACUUUGUUUCCGCUCCAAAGCAAUCCCUUUCUCCAGAAGAAGAAGCAGUACGAGCAAAUGCAAUCAAAUCCAGCCAGCAAACAGGUCCAUCAUUUUAGUGAAUGCGGGUCCAGAAGCAGCACCAACCGUCCAGAUUGUUCAGGCCGCCUUCUUAUUCUGAGAAGAGAGAGGUGCUCAUGGAAAAGUUGAGAGUGAGUGUAAGACUCACAGUGAGGCUCAGUGAUCGUUGAACAAGAUGCUGGGCUCUUUGGGUCGUCUUAAUCUCACUUAUUCUUCUUCUUCUGGGUCUUUCUCGUCUUCCAAGGACUACCCGAGUCCGAGGCUAUCUCAUCCCAAACUACCCUCUUUUCCGCUGCUUCGACAUAGAGUACUGUCCCCUCCAACUAAUUUAAGAUGUGGGAAGGUAGGUCUGAUGCACAUUUCUAAAUCAAUAUAGUCAUACGAGCCUUUGUUUCUGUUAAAGUAGAGUUAUUUAUUGGGAUCUUUCAAUUCUUGGUUUGUUAGUUGGAGCGUGAUUGCAAAGUUAGAGCAGUUUUGACAGACGACAGCUCGAUAAUGACGGUGAAUGAAGGAGAGACGGAAGAUAUUGGUAUUUUGAGAACAGACUCAAACUUGGAGCCGUACAAAGAUCACUUCAAGUGUAGAAUAAAGAGAUAUUUGGAGCAGAAAAGUCUCUUUGAGAAAUAUGAAGGAGGUCUAGAGGAAUUCGCUCGAGGUGAUUUGUGUUUCCUUUGUUGUCUUUAAUGGUCGAGAUGAUUUGUAUAUAUGCGUGAUGACAUCAUACUGUGUUUUGCUGCUCAUGUAGGUUUUGUGAAAUUUGGAUUUAAUAGAGAAGACGAUGGAGUUGUGUACCGUGAAUGGGCCCCUGCAGCUCAGUGAGUUCAUUAGCUUUUGAACAACCAUUUGAUUUUAGCUUUAGAUGCGUAAAUUUAUGUUUUGAUUAAUUAAUGUAAUCGUAAAACUCAGGGAGGCCCAACUUGUUGGAGACUUUAAUGGAUGGGAGGGCUCCAAUCACAAGAUGGAGAAGGGCGAGUUUGGAGUAUGGAGUAUCAAGAUACAUGACUUUGAUGGAAAUCCAGCUAUUCCUCACAAUUCAAAGGUUAAGUUCCGGUUCAAGCAUGGAGAUGGAGUUUGGGUUGAUCGUAUUCCUGCUUGGAUUAAAUAUGCCACUGUGGAUCCAGCAAAGUUUGCAGCUCCAUAUGAUGGUGUGUACUGGGAUCCACCACCAUCAGAAAGGUAACCGGUUUCAUUUUUUCUCUACGAAGAUGCAAAAUGGUCUCAUGAUAUGCAGAAAUUCUAGCAACUUAAAUUGUGGUAUCUGAGUGCAACAACUAGAAACUUUUGGUUUAUCCUGUAAUUUGACUUGGGUUUUCUGAUGAGAUUUAUCCACGGGAUCAUGCAGGUAUCAGUUUAAGUAUGGUCGUCCUCCAAAACCCAAGGCUCCACGAAUAUAUGAGGCCCAUGUUGGAAUGAGUAGCUCAGAACCCCGCAUCAGUUCAUACAGAGAAUUUGCUGAUAAUGUUUUGCCUCGUAUUCGAGCAAAUAACUAUAACACAGUCCAGCUGAUGGCUGUGAUGGAGCAUUCCUAUUAUGCUUCCUUCGGUUAUCAUGUGACAAAUUUCUUUGCCGUAAGCAGUAGAUCUGGAACACCUGAGGACCUUAAAUAUCUAAUUGAUAAAGCACAUUCCCUAGGUUUGCGGGUAUUGAUGGAUGUCAUUCACAGUCAUGCAAGUAAUAAUGUCACUGAUGGCCUCAAUGGCUUUGAAGUUGGUCAAAGCACACAAGAGUCCUACUUCCAUGCAGGAGAUAGAGGCUACCAUAAGUUAUGGGAUAGCCGACUCUUCAACUAUGCAAACUGGGAAGUUCUCCGCUUCUUUUUGUCCAACUUAAGGUGGUGGCUGGAGGAGUAUCAGUUUGAUGGUUUUCGGUUCGAUGGGGUAACUUCCAUGCUGUAUCAUCACCAUGGCAUAAACGUGGCAUUUACAGGAGAUUAUAAUGAGUACUUCAGUGAGGCAACAGAUGUUGAUGCUGUUGUUUAUUUGAUGCUUGCCAACUAUCUGAUCCAUAAGAUACUGCCAUCUGCAACUGUAAUUGCCGAAGAUGUUUCUGGGAUGCCUGGACUUGGUCGGCCUGUCUCUGAAGGAGGUGUUGGUUUUGACUACAGGCUGGCAAUGGCCAUCCCUGAUAAGUGGAUUGAUUAUGUGAAAAACAAGAAAGACGAAGAGUGGUCAGUGACAGAAAUUUCAUGGAGCUUGACAAAUAGGAGAUACACCGAGAAAUGUGUCUCCUAUGCUGAGAGUCAUGAUCAGGUAUGAGGUUUUCUUUUUGUGCAAGAGUCCAGAAGAAACAAGAGAGUUCAAGUUUUGUGAAGAUGUAUAUGUUUCGUUUCCCGAAGAUCUUUAUAAUGUCAAUGAUCUUGUUUCAUUGUCUCGUUAUUGUUGCCAAAUUAGCCCUCUCUUUACAAUUUUGGUUGUUAAUGCUUGCAGUCAAUUGUGGGUGACAAAACGAUUGCAUUCUUUUUGAUGGAUAAAGAAAUGUACUCUGGUAUGUCGUGUUUGAAGGAAGCUUCUCCUACUGUUGAUCGCGGGAUUGCCCUCCACAAGGUUUGUCCUUUUACUUUUGGUACCGGGAGCAUUAAUAGCAUAUGCUGUUUGGUUAGUAGGUGUCUGUAGUCUCCUUCUCUUGCUCAUUUUUUCGUUCUGUAUAUAUAAUGGCUACAUCAGCAAGGAUCAGAUUACACCAAAAAGUUCACCUAUCACUGACAAAGUAGCUAAAAUAUUUAUAUUUUUAACAAUCUUUUGGGUCACUGACUUUCAUUUUGGGUUUGGAGAAUAUCUGAACUAUUGCCACUUCUUAUUAGCAUAUUUAUCUAUGACGUGUUCGUUGACUCAAAAUAUUAAGUUUGUGGACUUAAUUAGCUCUCAUUGUUGUUUUCGACUUUUUCAGAUGAUACAUUUUAUAACUAUGGCAUUAGGAGGCGAGGGCUAUCUUAACUUUAUGGGUAAUGAGGUAAGCACGUUUGCUAGUAUGCCGCCUGGAAAUCUCUUAAUGCGGUGCUGCAGGACCUUGAAAUUUUUCAAUAUAAAAUGCCUUUUUUUUCUUUUUUCUUUUUUGUGUGAAACUAAUUAAGACGUGAGAGAAUUGUUGGCAAGUGGCAACCCUGUAAAAAGGUUGGUUUUCUUUGUAGUUUGGACACCCUGAAUGGAUUGACUUUCCAAGAGAUGGCAAUGGGUGGAGUUAUGAAAAGUGCAGACGCCAAUGGAACCUGGUGGAUACAGAUCAUUUAAGAUAUAAGGUCUAGAUUCUGUAGACAAAAUCUACUUUUACUGUUCUUAGCAUUUGUUAAUUUUUGCAUACUGUUUCAUGUUCUGUCAAUGGCUGCUCUAAUUAGACUUGUUACUAUUGUGGGCUAUAUUGAGAAAUAAAUUCUUGGCAUCCAUGUAGAGUUUCAUGUGUGUGCACAUAUAUUUAACAUAAAUUAGAUUUACUGGACCAGUAUAUUAUAUCUACUGUCAUUCCAUCUGAUCUAUUUCAGCGUCCUUGUCCUAAAACCAUGUUGCAUACGUUCUCAACGUGGUCUAUGAGAAUCAGUCUAGGUUCAUGGUUAAAAAUUUGUGGCAUGAAAUCAUCGCGGAACAUGAUUAUUGACAGGACUUGGAACCAUAUGCUUAAUAUUUGAGUUUAAGUUUUCUGACCCAAAAGAAAAGUACUAGUUUAUGUUGCAUAGUUGAUUUCUUUGCUUUUACAUAUAAUAAAUAAAGUUUAAUGUCACUUCUUACAUUGUUAUUUUUGCAACUUGUCCAGUUUAUGAACGCAUUUGACAGAGCUAUGCACUUGCUUGAUGAGAAAUUUUCGUUCCUUUCAUCAACAAAGCAGAUAGUGAGCAGCACAGAUGAGGAAGACAAGGUGAGAUAUAGUGUGGUGUUCCUUUAUUUGUUUUUUUUGAACAAUGAUAGUACUCUUUCUUAUUAUACAAAUAUCAGCUGGUGGAUAUUAGUGGUUCCCAGUUCUCGGGAAUGAACCAUUUAAAUCACUGCACAUAUUAACAAUACUUCAUCUUUGAAGUAUGCUUAGCAGCAACUCUUGGAAUUAGUAUAGAUAUCUUUAGUAGUUAAUGUUUAUCAAGUAUGGUCCAUUGUUUGACUGACCAGUCACCGUUUCUCUUUUAUGGACAAACUACUGAAGCAAGAAUGUAAACAAAGAUAAUUGAUUAUUUCAACUGACGAUUAUCUUUGGAAUUACGUGUUGCAGGUUAUUGUCUUUGAGCGUGGAGAUCUAGUUUUUGUAUUCAAUUUUCAUCCAGUAAACACAUACGAUGGGUACAAGUCCUUUUGCUUUUUGAUGAUGUAGCUGCAUGCUUGAUAGAAGCAGUUUGGACAUUCAUUUUACUUGGGAUUAACAUUAUUGAGUGAAUUGUGUUAUGAGACGUGCAGGUACAAAGUGGGGUGUGACUUACCUGGGAAGUACAGAGUUGCACUAGACAGUGAUGCUUUCGAAUUUGGUGGACAUGGAAGAGUAAGGAAGCCGUUUGCAUUCCCGGUGUUGUAUUAAGCAGAAGCUCAGUAUUUUAGGGACAUUGCAAUUAAAAUAAGAGCAAAAACAAAAAGGAAUGAACCAUCUCUCUUUCUUAUCAGAAGUUGUUGAUCACAAUUUAACUGGCAGGUAG
Molecule: long non-coding RNA, 8368 nt
Filed under: Fragaria vesca (wild strawberry)
Lineage: Eukaryota; Viridiplantae; Streptophyta; Magnoliopsida; Rosales; Rosaceae
Description: long non-coding RNA (FVES_LNC000873)
Source: RNAcentral